RNAcentral lists this ribosomal RNA (253 nucleotides) under uncultured bacterium. RNAcentral describes it as "partial 16S ribosomal RNA". It matches the Rfam family "Bacterial small subunit ribosomal RNA", at positions 524 to 776 of the family's 1533-position model. The record is from RNAcentral.
UACGAAGGGAGCUAGCGUUGUUCGGAAUCACUGGGCGUAAAGCGCACGUAGGCGGAUUUGUCAGUCAGGGGUGAAAUCCCGGGGCUCAACCUCGGAACUGCCUCUGAUACAGCAAGUCUUGAGUCCGGAAGAGGUGGGUGGAAUUCCUAGUGUAGAGGUGAAAUUCGUAGAUAUUAGGAAGAACACCGGUGGCGAAGGCGGCCCACUGGUCCGGUACUGACGCUGAGGUGCGAAAGCGUGGGGAGCGAACAGG